Cyphomyrmex costatus is the source of this 1480-nucleotide RNA transcript. It is a transcript of the gene named zinc finger and SCAN domain-containing protein 29, with no coding region annotated. Lineage: Eukaryota; Metazoa; Arthropoda; Insecta; Hymenoptera; Formicidae. The record is from RefSeq and is a predicted model, not a curated record. The transcript is spliced from 4 exons.
CAAUGCGCUAUACAAAGAGAUACGACUGUUUUGACGCACGUCAGCUGAGCGACUGUAUCUUUGUCAAAUUUUAACGCUUGCUUCUGUCCGUCGCGUCUUUCUCGCAAUUUCUAUUUAUUGUCAAUAUUUUGCGUGUAACAUAUCGGUCGUCGUCGUUAUAUUUACAAUACGAAAUUAUAUAUUACAAUAUUUCUAAUUACAAUAUAAUGAAAGAUAAUCAUUUCUAAUUACGUUUCUCUUAUGUGACCAUAUACAGAUUUAAUAAAAAUAUGAUGCAGAAAGUAUAUUGCGGAAAAAUAAUCUAUGUACAUCUCUAGUUCAGAUUUCUUCAGCCUUGAUUUCUUGUUUUCGCCUCAUAUUGCUAAACCGGUGAAAAGAAACGGUCGCAAGAAGUUUGUGGAUUUAAAGGCUCUCUGUGUUUAUUCGCGUCAGCUGUUUCUCGUUAUAUAGGUCAAGUAUAUGUUCGUGUACCUGAAUGCCUCUACCUAUUCUAAUUUAAUGCACUAUCAUGUUUCCAUGGCUGAUAUAGUGGUGACUUGGUCACCACAAUUUCAUUAAUGGACGGAAAAAAACAUAAACAUGUUGAUAUUUUCGAAUCAUUAGUUGAAAAUAUGAAAGAAAAAGGUUUUUCUAAAACGGCUCAACAAAUGAAAUUGAAAUUAAAAAAUUUGGGACUUGCUUACUUUAAAUGUAAAAGAGAAAAUAGUCUUAGUGGUGCAGCAAGAACAACCUGUCCAUUCUUUGAACAAUUAGAUAUUUUAUACAGUACUCGACCAAAUGUGCAAGUCCUUCAUGAUGAAUCAGGAAUCGACACUGCAGAUAUUCAAAAUGAAUCAUCUUGUGAAUAUAUGCAGGAUUGUUCAAGUAUAAAUGAGAGUGAAAUUCCGGAAGAAGACGAGUCUAGUUCAACUAUUAGCAACGAACCUCCUAGAAAGAAGAAAUAUGUCUGUAAGAAUCGUCUAGAUGUGUAUAUGGUAAUUGAAUAAUAUCAGAUAGAAAAAGCUACGAAACUGUUUUAGACAAAUAUACACAGAAUAUGUUACAAUCUCAAAAAGAAUUUUUAGCAGAUAUUAUUGUAAAACAGAAUAUGAGAUGUAAAAAGAGAUGAUAAAGGUUGAAAUGGAAAACUAAAGAUUGUGGGAAAAAGAAAUAAUAGAGAAGGAGCAUGCAUUUCAAAAGGAACAGAUGCAAUCUUUUGUACAAGCAAUACAAUUAAUAGGUUCUUCGACUGUGCCAUCAAAUUAUGGAAUGCCACAAAAUUUUCUAAUGCCUCAAAAUUAUGGAAUUGGAACAAAUUAUAAGCUGCCACAACAUGUCAAAAUUAUUCCGGUGAAACAAGGAAAUAUCCCUGAGCUAAGUGGAAUAAAUACACCAACGACGUCAACAUCCACAUCUUCUAGUAUUACUGAGAAUGACGACAAUUCAAAGACAUAAAAAUUUAUUUAUUUUAUUGAUUUACAUAAACGUUUAUUUUACUGCA